This 76-nucleotide transfer RNA is filed under the name subsurface metagenome. Its description in RNAcentral is "tRNA-Val". It matches the Rfam family "tRNA". Rfam says of the family: Transfer RNA (tRNA) molecules are approximately 80 nucleotides in length. Their secondary structure includes four short double-helical elements and three loops (D, anti-codon, and T loops). Further hydrogen bonds mediate the characteristic L-shaped molecular structure. tRNAs have two regions of fundamental functional importance: the anti-codon, which is responsible for specific mRNA codon recognition, and the 3' end, to which the tRNAs corresponding amino acid is attached (by aminoacyl-tRNA synthetases). tRNAs cope with the degeneracy of the genetic code in two manners: having more than one tRNA (with a specific anti-codon) for a particular amino acid; and 'wobble' base-pairing, i.e. permitting non-standard base-pairing at the 3rd anti-codon position. The record is from RNAcentral.
UGGGCGGAUAGCUCAGCUGGCUAGAGCGCCUGCCUUACAAGCAGGAGGUCGUAGGUUCAAAUCCUGCUCUGCCCAU